RNAcentral lists this ribosomal RNA (465 nucleotides) under uncultured bacterium. Its description in RNAcentral is "partial 16S ribosomal RNA". It matches the Rfam family "Bacterial small subunit ribosomal RNA", at positions 28 to 507 of the family's 1533-position model. The record is from RNAcentral.
GACGAACGCUGGCGGCGUGCUUAACACAUGCAAGUCGAACGGAAAGGCCCCUUUGGGGGUACUCGAGUGGCGAACGGGUGAGUAACACGUGAGUAACCUGCCCUUGACUUCGGGAUAACUUCAGGAAACUGGGGCUAAUACCGGAUAGGAAUCCUUGCUGCAUGGUGGGGGUUGGAAAGCUUCGGCGGUUUUGGAUGGACUCGCGGCUUAUCAGCUUGUUGGUGGGGUAGUGGCUUACCAAGGCUUUGACGGGUAGCCGGCCUGGGAGGGCGACCUGCCACAUUGGGACUGAGAUACGGCCCAGACUCCGACGGGAGGCAGCAGUGGGGAAUAUUGCACAAGGGGCGGAAGCCUGAUGCAGCAACGCCGCGUGCGGGAUGACGGCCUUCGGGUUGUAAACCGCAUUCAGCAGGGGCGAAGCUUGUGGUGACGGUACCUGCAGAAGAAGCACCGGCUAACUACGUG